Molecule: non-coding RNA, 6074 nt
Organism: Vicugna pacos (alpaca)
Lineage: Eukaryota; Metazoa; Chordata; Mammalia; Artiodactyla; Camelidae
Source: RefSeq, a predicted model, not a curated record
UGAUCCCAAACACGAUUGUAUACUUGCAUAAGGCAUCCCUGAAGGCAACGGGCUGUUAGGACCAGUGCGAGACUGAGGCCUCUUAGAAAAUGUCAUUUGGAGAGAUGGAUAUGACAGACUUGUUUUCUCUGUCUCUCUUAAAACCUUGUACUUUGGCAGCCUUUUAACUGUGCUUCACUCUUUUUGAAAUUUUUAUUUAUUACUUAGACAUCAGGAAAGGAAUAUUAUAGAAAGGAGAGGCUGGGAAAAACGUUCCUGGUCUAAAACAGACUACUGUACCUAGGAUCGUUUUUAGUUUCACAUCUCUAUUUUCCUGUGAAUCCUCGUAGGAAGACACUAAAAGAGAAAGCUGAGGAAAUAUGAAAAAAAUUUAUGUUGGAGCAAAAUAUUGGAGUGAAGUAUUUUUAAAUUGUGGCAAAUGACUAAUUUGGAACCAUGCCUUGGCAUUACAGUUAUUUGCCACUAAGAGCAGGCAAAUCAGAAAAAUAACCUCAAUAUUUCAAAAAAAAGUUUUCUUGCAAAGGUUAGCACGGUGCAGAGAUUCCAAAUUUUAUUUGGCUUUAUCGUGAUCCAAGUGGGAAAAAUGAGGACACUUGAUGCCAAAUGUCUCAGGUGCUUGAAACCGCAACUUGGAGCGACUUUGUACUCUUCUGCCUUCAUGGGGCUUCAGAGGGGGCUUACGUUUUAUUUUAUUUUUGGCAGCUUGGCAGGUUUUGCACUUUACUAUGUCAUAUGUUUGUUUUAAAAGUUUUAAGUUGCCAUUACCAUCAAGUCAAAUAGAUGUGCCAAGACCACGUGCCGUGGUGUGGCUAGGGUAGUGCCUGGCCCCUGGCCUCUGACCCCACUUUGGGAAGCAUUGGUCAGGGAGGUCAUUGCUGCUAGAUUUCUGCUGUGGUGCAUCUGUUGUCCACCCUUCAUGGCGCUCUCUUAACAGCUAAGUUGGUCUACUUGUAGUUUGCAAAAUAGGCUGAGCAGAUUCCCAUCUUCCAGCUCUUCGUAUAUUCUCUCUGUUUGCAGUUACCUCUUUCCCUUGUAUUUCUUAAGUGCUGACAUCUUUGUUUUUCUCUUCACUUCGCUUUCCUUCCCCUUCAUGUCUGCCUUCCUUCCCUCCCUCUUUGCAGCCUCAGUUUCCCUACGAAGACCUUUCUUCUUGGCCGGGCUUAGAGAUUGCUCCCCUUCCUGAGCUCCUAGAGUGUUUACUUGUGGUACAAGGGGUUCCAUUUCAUAGGAUGCAGGAUGAAAACCUGGGAACGGUUUCAUUUAUUUUCAUUUCAUCCUUAAAAAGUUGUGACCUUUUAAGUUAUAGAAUAUAUUGCUAUGCUAAUGCAUUGUUACAGUUUGUAAGUAAAUUUACAUGAAAUGGAAGGACUGCAGAGAAAAUUUAGUGGGGUGGGCUGUAUCACCCAGAAAGGUCUGGAUUUGUUGUACGAGUCUACCACUGGCACUUGGCAAAUACCCCCUGUUUCUUUAAGUCCUGCCUCUUCACCUGUAUUGCAAGGACUGUGCCUUACAUCCUUGGGAUUUCUCAUAUUUGCUUGGUACCCCACAUUCAGUCCAAGUCUGUGGGUGAUGCUGAAGUCUGGUGAAGACGGUACUGGAGACCUGAGUUCCCCAGACCAGUCCUCCAGAGCGUGUUUGUUAAGAGGAGAGUGUGUAAGCUUAGAGCCUCUCAUUCCCUUGCGAACUUCACUUGUUACCCAGCCCCAGUCCUUUACCUGGAAUGAGGCCACUUAUAGUUGUUUUAUUUUUACUAGUGAACUUUUUCUUUUAGAGCACUUCUGGAUUUACAGGAAAGCUGCAAAGACAGUACAGGGAGUUUCUGUGUAUCUUCUGCUCGGUUUUCCCUUUUGUUAACGUCUUACAUUAGUGUUGCGCAUCUGUCAAAACUGGGAGCCAGUCCGGUUCAUCAUUAUUAUUAACCAAUGUCCGUCCUUUAUUCAGAUCCCUUUAGUGUUUCCCUAAUGGCCUUUUUCUGUUUCGGGAUCCCACAGUAUGUUCAGUUGUCAUGUCUCCGUGGGCUCCUCCAGUCUCUUCCUUGUUUUUGAUGAUUGUGACAGUCUUGAGGGGUACUGGUCUGGUGUUUCGUAGACUAUCCCUCAGCUGGUGUUUGAUGUUUUUCUCGUAAAGAGACUGGGAUUCUGUGCUUUGGGAGGAAAGACCCCAGGGUUGAAAUGCUGUUCUCAUCACAUCAUAUCAAGGGUGUGUGCUUUGAAGACGACUGGUCACUUGAUCACCUGGCCGAGGUGCCGUUUGUCCGCUUUCUCUGCCGUGAGGUUACCCUUUCCGCCCUUCUCCCUCCUGUACGUACGCAUGGCCCGCACUUGGAGGUGACAAGUUAUGCUCCACCCCCUGGAGGGGGAAGUGUCUAUGAAUUACUUGGAAUUCUAUAUAGGAGACUUAACUCUUCUCCCCCAUUCAUUUCCUUAUUCAGUUAUUUACAUCACUGUGGACACAUGGAUAUUGAUUUUAUACUUUGGGUUAUAGUUCAAUACUGUUAUUUAUUUUGCUGCUCAAAUUGUACCAGCUUUGGCUAUUGGGAGCCCUGUCAGUUGGCUUCUGUGUCCUGCAGACAUAUGUCCACCUUUUUCCCCCAUGUUUCCCUGUGCUGUGAGAAGCUGUAGGCGCCUCUUGUGUGCUCCUUGCCACAGCCCUGCAAUCAGCCGUUUCUCAGACUGAUUCCUUUUACUGGACAGUGAUGUUAGAAACCGGGAUCUGGGCACUGGAUUUGCUCGCUGCUUCUGGGACAUUUAUAAUAGGGUUUUGAUCCUCUGCUUCCUCUACCUAAUCCCAGGUGUUGGGAAAAGAGAGGGAGUGAGUGAGAGAUUUUGGAGGGACGAAGGGUCUCCUUAAGACACAAAACUUGGAAGAGCCCUGUGCAUGUUUGACCCUGUCACUUGACCCCCUCUUAACCUAUUAACACCAGCAUAAAUACUGUGCAUCCCACAUUUGCCACAUUUGGCAGAGAGUUAUUUUUAUUUUUAGAGCAAUAGAUACUUGAAAGAUUUUCUUUACUCUCUCCAGGAGCAGCCUAAUCUCUAAGGAUAUGAAGGAAGCCUCUGAGGCUUAAGGAUUUGGCUAGAGAAUUAUUUUAGGGAUCUGUCAGCUUCGGAAAUUGUUGAAGGGGAUUGUAGGCAACUCCUUUAAUUGGUAAAAGUUCAGAUAAAGUGUUUGGUGACAAGUGUCAAGAGUACAGGGGGCUGUGGACUCGGUCUGAUCUAUUUAAAGAGCUUUUCCUUUUGUUUCUUUCCUUCUCGUUUUUUAUUAGGGAAAAGUUCAAACAUACACAAAAGUAGAAAAAGUAACAUAAUGAGCCCCCAUGUGCCCAUCACCCAGCAGCCACAGUUUUUAAUUUGCAGUGAAGCUUGUUCGAUUGUACCCUUCCCACUGACCUGGCCACGGUAUCAGUUUGGCUGAGAAUGUUUCAGGAAAAAGUAAAGAUGUUUUUAUAAAACAGGAUCACUUGCGUCAGCAUCACCUAGGUACUUGUAGAAAUGCAGAUUUGGAGGCCUCAAAACAAACCAACUGAAUCAGAAUUCUGAAAGCCAGCCUGGAAAUCUGCAUUUAUAAUACGUUUCUAGUGAUUUCCCCACCCCCACAACACAAAAUAGUUUAUCUUCUGCUAGAGACAAAAUAAUACCAGCUUAAUUAAUAGAAAUAUGUUGACUUGUGUAGUUACUGAGACACAAAGAGGGAAGAACAAUUUAAAAUUAAAAAAUUAAAAAUUAGGAGAGAGAAUGUAGCUCAGUGAUAGAGUGUGUGCUUGGCAUGUACAAGGUCCUGGGUCCACUCCCCGGUACUGUCAUUAAAACAAUAAAUCAAUAAAUAAACCUCAUUACCCCCCUUCCAAAAAAAAUAGAUUAAAAAAUUAAUGUCAGCAUCUACAAUCUGAAGAGAUCUCUGCUCCUGACCACCAUACAUGAAUAUUCUGAAGAAUCUGCCUGUGAGAAGUAUGUGUGUUAUAACCACAAAGGAACUUGAAUACUUCAGGGCAGAUCGCACUUACUGCUCUAAAUACCUUUUUCUUUUUUUUUUUUUUGGUAACUUUAGCUCCUUCUCUGGAGGUCGGUAUAAAUAAUAGCCUCUUUGCAUUUUAUAAAUAUCCUGUAUAAAUAAUCAGUGGAAACUGUGAACUGGCAGCCUGACAGUCAGAUGCCAGCGCUGUGAGCUGAGAACCUCAUGGUGCAGAUGUGUCAGCCCUGGACCUGGGGUUCUGGCCGCUGCAGCACAGGCUAGCGAGGAAACCCAGCUCCAGCAGGUGCAACCCUGACGUUCCCGAUCCCCCAGGGUGCCUCCCUUGAAUGGUUCUGUGUCACCCGCAACUGUUACUUUCCAAGGACCCAGCCUGCCUUGACUCUGACUUUAGACUAUUAUUAAAACGUGAUACCCGGACACUGAUUGCUGGGUCUGCUGGGUGCUGUGGCUCCCAAGAAUAGUGCUCAUUAGGAGAUACUUUUUGUGUCUGCUCUGAAGAUUCACAGGCAGGUGUCAAGAAGCGUAUAUGAAGUCGUAGACAGAUGUCAUUUUCCGCCUCUUCUUCGCUCCUUCAGACCCUCCUGGAUUGACGCCCUUGAUCCCUUCCUCCCUCAGCUCUCGUGCUUCUCAGGCUCCGUCAGCAGCAGCAUCUUCCCGUGCUUUCUCCAGGACCCUUCCUCCCCAUUUAUGUAUAUAGUAGACUUUUUAAUGCAUGUAUUUUUCUGCGUAGCAUUAUUCUACUUUUAAAUACCUUUGUUAGUAUUAAUUCUCAGGAGGAGUUAAAAAAAAAAGUGGACCAUUCUUACGGUUCUCCUAUUAAUUGUCGUAUUUCUUUUCAAGACCCUUUAAAAGUGCUUUCCUCUUCUGCCUUCCGUGCGGUGUACACUGGGGUCUCCACCUGCCUCUGCAGCGUCUUCCUCCCUGUUUCCCUCCUAGCCCUGUUUCUUUGUCCCAUCCCUGAAAUGUUGUUACCCCUCUUGAUCCUCUCUUUUCCCCACACCAUCACAUCUCUGUUAAUAGCAAAUAAUGCACGUAGGUGUUUUAAAAAGUGAAAAUGUUCCAUGACUUACAAUAAAAGUAGUGCAGCGAACCCUUGCCCCAUCCCGUUCUUCAGCAUCCCUGCUUUCUGCACCUCUCCCCUGGGCAUCACCUCCUGCUCUUAGUCAUGUUGCUAAAUAACAUGCUUGAAUAACCGAUUCUUGGUUUAAGUAGACGCUGAAUUUCUACUGUGGAAGAAGAGGAUGUAUAUGUACACACGCAUGCACACACACACACACACACUCUUUCCUCUUCUUAGUGUCGUGGUUUUUUUUUUUUUUUACACUAUUUGAUUAAAUCACCAUUCAGUGUUUGCACUUAACUGCAAGUACUGUUCACUGUUGACCCAAUAGUGUUUCCAAUGAUUAAAUUUCCUUGACAUCUUUUCUUUUCCCUGGGCUUGCCCUGUGUCAUCAUUUCCUUAGUUUUUCGUGAAUGUGUCAUGAAUUUGAGCCUGCUCUUGGCGUGUUUGGCUGGGCUGCCCUGGAGCCUGCUCUGUGCCCUGUGCCAGGCGUGGGUGGUGGUCGCCCUUCCGCUGCCUCCAGGGUUGUACUGCAAGGUCUGAUUUCGUUUCCUGUGUGGCCUCUGUUCCCCCCUUGGAUGGAAGCUUUUGCGACUUUCUAAAUCUGAAAAGUUGCAAAACAGUGCCUUGGCAUGAGUCUACCAUUCACCCCGCUCACUAGGAUGGAUACCCUGGGCCUUUUGAAUCUGGAGAGUGGUGUCCUCUAGUUCCCGAAGAAUUUCAUACACACUUUUUUUUUUUAAAGAAAAUUAUUUCUUCCUUUUCUUUGUUCUUUUCCUUCAAGAACUUCUAUUAGUGGAAUGCUGGGCUUCUUGGAAUGAGCUUCGACUCUCCUUUUGUUCAUGUUUUGUCUCUUUAUUCCACUGUGGGACGACCUUUAUUUUUACUAAUACAUUUUAUUUCCAGGAGUUUUCCCUCCUCCCCAUACCUCUUUCUAAAUAGCUUUUUCUCAUGAGUGUAAUAUCUCCUCUUUUUUAUUUUUUAUUUUUUAUUUUUGAAGUACAGUCAAUUACAGUGUGUCAGUUGCUGGUGUACAGUGCAA